CCUACGGGCGGCAGCAGUGAGGAAUAUUGGUCAAUGGACGAGAGUCUGAACCAGCCAAGUAGCGUGAAGGAUGACUGCCCUAUGGGUUGUACACUUCUUUUAUAUGGGAAUAAAACAGGGUAUGCAUACCCUCUUGUAUGUACCAUAUGAAUAAGGAUCGGCUAACUCCGUGCCAGCAGCCGCGGUAAUACGGAGGAUCCGAGCGUUAUCCGGAUUUAUUGGGUUUAAAGGGAGCGUGGAUGGGUUGUUAUGUCAGUUGGGAAAGUUUGCGGCUCAACCGUAAAAUUGCAAUUGAUACUGGCAGUCUUGAGUACAGUUGAGGUAGGCGGAAUUCGUGGUGUAGCGGUGAAAUGCUUAGAUAUCACGAAGAACUCCGAUUGCGAAGGCAGCAUACCGGCGCCCAACUGACGCUGAAGCACGAAAGCGUGGGUAUCGAACAGGAUUAGAUACCCCUGUAGUC
This 460-nucleotide ribosomal RNA is filed under the name uncultured bacterium. RNAcentral's name for it is "partial 16S ribosomal RNA". It matches the Rfam family "Bacterial small subunit ribosomal RNA", at positions 338 to 795 of the family's 1533-position model. The record is from RNAcentral.